RNAcentral lists this transfer RNA (107 nucleotides) under Klebsormidium nitens. It matches the Rfam family "tRNA". From Rfam's summary of the family: Transfer RNA (tRNA) molecules are approximately 80 nucleotides in length. Their secondary structure includes four short double-helical elements and three loops (D, anti-codon, and T loops). Further hydrogen bonds mediate the characteristic L-shaped molecular structure. tRNAs have two regions of fundamental functional importance: the anti-codon, which is responsible for specific mRNA codon recognition, and the 3' end, to which the tRNAs corresponding amino acid is attached (by aminoacyl-tRNA synthetases). tRNAs cope with the degeneracy of the genetic code in two manners: having more than one tRNA (with a specific anti-codon) for a particular amino acid; and 'wobble' base-pairing, i.e. permitting non-standard base-pairing at the 3rd anti-codon position. The record is from Rfam by way of RNAcentral. Lineage: Eukaryota; Viridiplantae; Streptophyta; Klebsormidiophyceae; Klebsormidiales; Klebsormidiaceae.
GCCAGUUUAGCUCAGUUGGUAGAGCGCGUGGCUUUUACGGGCUCACCUCCUCAGGUGAUGCUGCUCAGUGCACCACGUGGUCCAGGGUUCGAGCCCCUGAACGGGCG